AGAGUUUGAUCCUGGCUCAGAAUCAACGCUGGCGGCGNNNUUAACACAUGCAAGUCGAACGAGAAAGUGGAGCAAUCCAUGAGUAAAGUGGCGUACGGGUGAGUAACACGUGGAUCAUCUGCCCUUUUGUGGGGAAUACCGCUGGGAAACCGGCGACAAUACCGCAUAAGCCCGAGAGGGGAAAGCAGCAAUGCGCAGAAGGAGGAGUCCGCGGUCGAUUAGCUAGUUGGUAGGGUAAUGGCCUACCAAGGCUGUGAUCGAUAGCCGGCCUGAGAGGGCACACGGCCACACUGGCACUGAAACACGGGCCAGACUCCUACGGGAGGCAGCAGUGGGGAAUCUUGCACAAUGGGGGCAACCCUGAUGCAGCGACGCCGCGUGAGCGAUGAAGCCCUUCGGGGUGUAAAGCUCUUUCGGCAGGGAAGAUUAUGACGGUACCUGCAGAAGCAGCUGCGGCUAACUACGUGCCAGCAGCCGCGGUAAUACGUAGGCAGCGAGCGUUGUUCGGAGUUACUGGGCGUAAAGGGUGUGUAGGCGGCCUUCUAAGUUUGGUGUGAAAUCUCCCGGCUUAACCGGGAGGGUGCGCCGAAUACUGAAAGGCUAGAGUGCGGGAGAGGAGAGUGGAAUUCCUGGUGUAGCGGUGAAAUGCGUAGAUAUCAGGAGGAACACCGGUGGUGUAGACGGCUCUCUGGACCGUAACUGACGCUGAGACACGAAAGCGUGGGUAGCAAACAGGAUUAGAUACCCUAGUAGUCC
RNAcentral lists this ribosomal RNA (756 nucleotides) under uncultured bacterium. RNAcentral's name for it is "bacterial SSU rRNA". It matches the Rfam family "Bacterial small subunit ribosomal RNA", at positions 8 to 796 of the family's 1533-position model. The record is from RNAcentral.